Molecule: ribosomal RNA, 376 nt
Filed under: uncultured bacterium
Lineage: Bacteria
Description: bacterial SSU rRNA
Rfam family: Bacterial small subunit ribosomal RNA
Source: RNAcentral
AUACGUAGGUGGCAAGCGUUGUCCGGAAUUAUUGGGCGUAAAGGGCGCGUAGGCGGAUAUUUAAGUCAGAUGUGAAAUAUGCGGGCUUAACCCGGAUAUGCAACUGAUACUGGGUAUCUUGAGUGCAGGAGAGGACAGUGGAAUUCCUAGUGUAGCGGUGAAAUGCGUAGAUAUUAGGAGGAACACCAGUGGCGAAGGCGGCUGUCUGGACUGUAACUGACGCUGAGGCGCGGAAGCGUGGGGAGCAAACAGGAUUAGAUACCCUGGUAGUCCACGCCGUAAACGAUGGGUACUAGGUGUAGGGGGUAUCGACCCCUUCUGUGCCGGAGUUAACACAAUAAGUACCCCGCCUGGGGAGUACGGCCGCAAGGUUGAA